UACGGAGGGUGCAAGCGUUAAUCGGAAUUACUGGGCGUAAAGCGCGCGUAGGCGGUUGAUUAAGUCCGCUGUGAAAGCCCUGGGCUUAACCUGGGAACUGCAGAGGAUACUGAUGAGCUAGAGUGUGGUAGAGGGUAGUGGAAUUUCCGGUGUAGCAGUGAAAUGCGUAGAGAUCGGAAGGAACACCAGUGGCGAAGGCGACUAUCUGGACCAACACUGACGCUGAGGUGCGAAAGCGUGGGGAGCAAACAGG
This 253-nucleotide ribosomal RNA is filed under the name uncultured bacterium. RNAcentral describes it as "partial 16S ribosomal RNA". It matches the Rfam family "Bacterial small subunit ribosomal RNA", at positions 524 to 776 of the family's 1533-position model. The record is from RNAcentral.